AAAAGUGCUUCAAAGAUAUAUAAUUUACAAGGCAUUUUACAUUCACUUUGUUUAAAAACGCUAAUAUUAGUCUCUAAUUCCAAUUCUCAUGCCGUAAAUUCAAUUUCCAUAAAUAUAUGGUUAAAAAUGCAAUUAAUUGAAAUACGUAUUUACAUACAUGGCGGCAUGAGUAUUAUACAUUUGAAAGAGUAUCUAUUUGAUGUAUUUCACAUGUAUUUCCAAUUUAUUACAAGUGGAGCAAGUGGAAGAAAAUAAUGUUGAAAAGUCAAAAAUAGUGACUGCCUCAAGCAAGAAGCAGCUGUCGGUAAAACAAUCAUAACUUGAGCUGCAGACAUUGGAUCGAGGUUAUUCAAGUUGGGUUGGAAAGAUAAGGCACGUUUCUACAAUUUCUUGUUUUGGAAAAAGUCAAAUUCGUAUCACAAGACAGCCAAAAUAACCGUGCAAAGUCCAGCUUGUUACCUGCCGGAUACAGCUUUACCUGUGAAGCAGCACUUAUUGUUUUUGUCAUAUCUGGAGUUAUAUAGAUCCAAUGAACCUGAUAUUUGAACCAAUGGAAAGCUAACUCAAGUAGAAA
This 574-nucleotide long non-coding RNA is filed under the name Olea europaea (common olive). Its description in RNAcentral is "long non-coding RNA (OEUR_LNC015295)". The record is from RNAcentral. Lineage: Eukaryota; Viridiplantae; Streptophyta; Magnoliopsida; Lamiales; Oleaceae.